RNAcentral lists this ribosomal RNA (468 nucleotides) under uncultured bacterium. RNAcentral's name for it is "partial 16S ribosomal RNA". It matches the Rfam family "Bacterial small subunit ribosomal RNA", at positions 28 to 507 of the family's 1533-position model. The record is from RNAcentral.
GACGAACGCUGGCGGCGUGCUUAACACAUGCAAGUCGAACGGAAAGGCCCUGCUUUUGUGGGGUGCUCGAGUGGCGAACGGGUGAGUAACACGUGAGUAACCUGCCCUUGACUUUGGGAUAACUUCAGGAAACUGGGGCUAAUACCGGAUAGGAGCUCCUGCUUCAUGGUGGGGGUUGGAAAGUUUCGGCGGUUGGGGAUGGACUGGCGGCUUAUCAGCUUGUUGGUGGGGUAGUGGCUUACCCAGGCUUUGACGGGUAGCCGGCCUGAGAGGGUGACCGGCCACAUGGGGACUGAGAUACGGCCCAGAGUCCUACGGGAGGCAGCAGUGGGGAAUAUUGCACAAUGGGCGGAAGCCUGAUGCAGCAACGCCGCGUGCGGGAUGACGGCCUUCGGGUGGUAAACCGCUUUCGCCUGUGACGAAGCGUGAGUGACGGUAAUGGGUAAAGAAGCACCGGCUAACUACGUG